UGCACAGUGGACGCGAGCAUCUUUGUGGCCAAGUUAAUAAGGGCGCACGGUGGAUGCCUUGGCA
This 64-nucleotide ribosomal RNA is filed under the name uncultured Frankiaceae bacterium. RNAcentral's name for it is "partial 23S ribosomal RNA". The record is from RNAcentral. Lineage: Bacteria; Bacillati; Actinomycetota; Actinomycetes; Frankiales; Frankiaceae.